UCCUAACCGCCUCUCCCCUGUGGCCUUCUGGUAAGGCAGCCGCCGCCCACCGACCUGCUCUACAGCCGCAGCAACCGCCUCGUCCCUGUGGCCCUCGGUUCCCUCCCUCUCCCUCAUCUCCAUCCCGUCCACCGCUGCUGCUCCUUGGGGUGAUCCUCGUGGCCUCCUGACAUCUUCCCGCAGGCUCCCCUCGGCCGCCCCUUCCGAUCUCAUCAAUUUAUGGCCUCCGCAUGAGGUGAGUCCAAGACUCCAGGUUGAUUCGGAAUUCUCUGCAUAAAAAAAAAAGAUUCGGACGUCCUGCAUACUGGCUGCUAAUCGGGGAUCGUCCAAUUUCGCUCCGAGGCUCCACGGUGGGAGGUGACUAUCCAGGCCCGCGCGUCAUGCCUGCUGCCUUCGGUCCCACAAUCAGAGGAAGGGGAGGGGUUCACCGAGAAGCAUUUCAUUUUAUUUCUGCUGCUGCUCUCUCUCUCUCGGGUUAUAGCUCUCUCUCUCCUCUCCUCUUUUGUUGCAAGUUCUCUCCCAUGUGACCAUGCCUCCCAGAUCCGUCGAUUUGUGUAGGGAGAAGUGCAAAUCGAAGGCAGAGAGGUGAAGCAGGAUUUGGUGGGAUAUUUCCAACCGCAUGAGAGGAACCUUGCCGAUUCGCAACGCUAGGUAGAUUUCCCCCCACGGUGAUGGUUUAAAAUUCCCCAGCUGUGCGCUCGAAGAUAUGGAGAUGGUGUCGUGAGGAGGUUGGUUCUGGAUUUGAGGGGGGUAUCACCAGUUACUGUUCAAAGGGACUAUCAUGUGGCUGCUUCUGGAGGAUUUACUUGUAUUAGAACUUCACUUUAGCUAAGGACUUGGUGAUGCCCACCCGGCGUACUGAAUGACGCAUGCUGUGCUAUUUUGAUUCAAAUUUUGCACGAGGGAAAUUUUUUUUCCCCUUUUGCUAGGGGCAUUGAUUGUUACGGUUUGAGAUAUUUGUGCAAAUGCAUAUCAUGUACCAUGACAAAUUGCAGAUCGGAUUGAUUUUUGUACAAUGGAUAUAAUGCACUGCUUGCUAGAUCAGAGAUAAGUUUUUGUAUAGAUGCACGGUGAUUCCAAACUGAAUGAAUACAUGUGUUUUUAUUAGUCAAA
Molecule: long non-coding RNA, 1113 nt
Organism: Setaria italica (foxtail millet)
Lineage: Eukaryota; Viridiplantae; Streptophyta; Magnoliopsida; Poales; Poaceae
Exons: 5
Source: RefSeq, a predicted model, not a curated record